RNAcentral lists this ribosomal RNA (395 nucleotides) under uncultured soil bacterium. Its description in RNAcentral is "bacterial SSU rRNA". It matches the Rfam family "Bacterial small subunit ribosomal RNA", at positions 26 to 449 of the family's 1533-position model. The record is from RNAcentral.
AGAACGAACGCUGGCGGCAUGCCUAAUACAUGCAAGUCGAACGAACACUUCGGUGUUAGUGGCGCACGGGUGCGUAACGCGUGGGAAUCUGCCCUUGGGUUCGGAAUAACAGUUGGAAACGACUGCUAAUACCGGAUGAUGACGAAAGUCCAAAGAUUUAUCGCCCAGGGAUGAGCCCGCGUAGGAUUAGCUAGUUGGUGAGGUAAAGGCUCACCAAGGCGACGAUCCUUAGCUGGUCUGAGAGGAUGAUCAGCCACACUGGGACUGAGACACGGCCCAGACUCCUACGGGAGCAGCAGUAGGGAAUAUUGGACAAGUGGGCGAAAGCCUGAUCCAGCAAUGCCGCGUGAGUGAUGAGGCCGUUAGGUUGUAAAGCGUCGUUUUACCCGGAUGAA